This is a long non-coding RNA of Sorex araneus (European shrew), 3488 nucleotides long. RefSeq lists it as uncharacterized. NCBI's taxonomy places the organism in Eukaryota, Metazoa, Chordata, Mammalia, Eulipotyphla, Soricidae. The transcript has 3 exons. The record is from RefSeq and is a predicted model, not a curated record.
UCCACCUGCCUGUCCCGGAGACUCAGACAUCUUACGAGUCAGGGCAGAGCCAGGCCAGAUGCUGACUCUGGUGCUCCUGGACCUUAGGUGACCUUCAGCGAGUCCUCAGGUGUCUGAUGCACAGAGGCUGCGGCGGGCUGGGGGAUCUCUCCUUUCUCUCUCGCUCAUGCUGCUUCUGCUGGAAAUGCCUUUCAGGACUCCUGGUGGCCAGCAACAGAGAGUGACCUGUCCCUUCCAGCUAAGGGGAGGGCUUCUGGAGCCAGAGUGAUAGUAUGGCAGGAAGAGCAUUUGCCAUGCUUGCAGCGACCUGGGUUUCAUUCCUUGCAUCUCAUGUGGUUCCACAAGCACUGCACGCAGUGCAGUGGACUCGAGGACUAAGCCCAAAGCACAGAGCCAGGAGUAAGCCCUGAGUACCACCAGGUGUGACCCCAAAACCAAACCAAUAUAUGUGUACGUGUGUGUUUGUGUGUGUGUGUGCGCACACGUGUGUGUGCGUGUGUGUGUGUGUGUGUGUGUGUGUGUGUGUGUGUGUGUGAGAUUCCUUGCUCUGUCUCAGGGUUUACAGAGUGGAUGGGCAAACUUUCUGGGCCCAAGGAGGAUCCAGGGACCUAGGUACCCAGGUCAAUCUGUUCAGGAUUCUGUGGUGGUCCUUAUCCAGACAGAAGCCUCCAUAACAGGCUGGGUGGUCUUUUUUUUCCUUUUUGGGUCACACCCGGCGAUGCUCAGGAGUUACUCCUGGCUCUACAUUCGGGAGUUACUCCUGGCGGUGCUGGGAGGACCAUAUGGGAUGCUGGGAAUGGAAGCCGGGUUGACCAUGUGCAAGGCAAACACCCUCAGGCUGGGUGGUCUUUGGAUCAGACCAUUUAGUUUUUCAGUGGGACAUGCUGGUUCCUGGGCCUGGCAUUCUCAGGUGGGGUCUGGCUGCCCACUAGUCUGCUCCCUGCUCUCCGGCACUUGCUGUCUGUCUCCAGAGGAGUUGAAGGAGCUGCCCACACCCACACGAAAAACUCCAUGUCUUUCAAACCCUCAGGUCGUUAGAGAAAGCGCACAGGUCUCGAAGUCCUGGCGAAUGCUAUUUUCUGAACAAGGAGCUGGAAAGGGCGGGGAGAACUUGUGCUCUGGGUCCAAGGUCAGGGAAGCAGCAUCUUCCAGCCCAACGGCCCUGGUCAGUUUCUUCUCCAGCAGGGAGCCAGGGCGGCUGGGGGAACCUAGCUAAGUACCUAGCACAGCAGCCGCGUGCAAAGAGGAGCUGUGACGCCCAGCGCCCCCGGCACCGCGGCAGCCAGGAGAGGAAGGCACUGUUUCAGGCCAGCAGCUUCCCAGCAGGACGGAGCCCGGCACCCCCGGGGCACCGUGCUGAGAACACACACUUAACCUGCUUCUUCCUCCCAUCUCUCUUCCCCACGGGCAUUUCCCCGAAUUCCCUGCCCCAGGCCCUCUCUGCUGUCUCGUCUGCUGCGGGGAGCUCUGCAGAGGAGCACCCCCCACUCCCCCCCCCCCCCGCCCCAAGAAGCACAGGGGGAGGCAGGACGUUAAUCUUCUUAGCGGCGGGGCCGGCCCCUCUGUGGUGGGCCCCAUCCUCCACAGGCUCCCUGGCUCCUUGCAGAGCCCAGCACCUAUUCCUCCAGGUUUUCCAGAACUUUAGGCUUUUCUGAAAUGUUGCUCCUCCUCUCUCCUACAAGUCUCAGUCCCUCCAUUUAGCUGUGUGGUACUCGGCAGGUUGCCACACCUCUCUGAUUCUGCACAUUCAUGUCUCCAUGCACUGGGAUCUGCUGCCCACUGGGGCAAAUGGAGAUGGUUUAACAGUAGGAUUGUAGCGGCCACAGCACCUGGCUGGGGACCCCGGGCCAGGGCUGUGGACUGUCCACAGUUCAUUUUGCUUUAGGACAUGUUGGAGGAUGGCCAGCUAUGCUUGAUGGGCGAGGAUGACAAGGCCUGGAGGCCACAGCCCCGCCCAACCCCAUGUGGGACAGUGCUGGCGCCUUGCCCCAAGCCUGUAUGUCUCCUCACCGAGCCCCGAUCCUCUGCCUGCCGCUGGCCACUUGCAUCUGGAACCUGCUUCAGAAACUCACCCUCAGGCCCCCGGGGCCCUGCCCGGAGCUUCCUGGCCACUCCAACAGAGAGUACUGGGCAGCCUCCAACACGCCGUAGAUACCCCAGCCAUCUGCCGCAAGGGGACGCCCAGUCCUUUGCCAUGAGCAACACAAACUCGGGGCUCCAGCAGGGGAGGUGGAAAUGCACUCAGGCUUGGUCGUUGCUCGCCCCAGGUCCUUUGCUCCCUCACCCAAUUCUGCCAGAACUACCUUAAUUAAACACCUGCACCCGAAUUCUUGCCUCAGCUUCUGCUUCUGGAAGAAUCUGACAAGACAAGCUGCCGGCACUGGAUGCCACGGAACUGGAGAGAUAGUUCAGCCAGCAGGGUGCUUGCUCUGCACGGAUUCCACCUGGGACAUCCCGUAUGGUCCCCCAGCCCCACCAGGGGUGGUCCCUGAGCGCAGAGCCGGGAGUAAGCCCCGGGCACAGUCAGGUGAAGCCCACCCUGCCCUACUUGCCAGUUCUUUCCAGUUCAUGUAUGACACACAGCAGCUGGAGAGGUGGUUACAGUGAAGGGAUGCUCUUGGCUCUGCACUCAGAAUUUACUCCUGGAAGCGCUCAGGGGACCAUAUGUGUUGCUGGGGAUCAAACCCAGGCUGGCUGUGUGCAAGAUAAGUGCCUUACCCACUGUACUAUAGCUCUGGCCCCCUGAUUAUUAUUCUUAGAGUUGUGAAAUACCAUGGUUGGUUUGAUGAUAGAACUUCCUUACGCGGAAUCCGGGACAAUAGUAAAUGUUUGUGGCAUAAUUUAAGUGAAGCCCAUGUAUAUCACUUUUAAAUCUCUCCCAAGAAAGUGAGAGGCAAUCAUCACUUUAAAUUGGAGUAUUAAAAUGUCCUUGGUCACCUUCUCCUGCACACCUUCUCCAGAUGGAGCCCUGGCGACACUGAGCAGCAACUAACACGGCUCCGGGAUUCGGGACUGGGACACAUCCGAGCCGCGGGGGGGCACUGGAGUGGGGUGGUGCCAGCUCAAACUCCAAGUGGUCCCGGCCGCUGGAAGUCACGCCCUCGACCCACCCUCGGUGCCAUCUUGCCACAACCAGCAGUGAAGCGGCCAGGCAUUCUGGUGAGCAACGCGGCCCGGAAAAUGCUCCGGACCCAAAUUGGGGCCAACAACACCCGGGAGCCGGAAGGUGGAGGUGCAGCCAGCACACCUUCUCCAGAUGGAGCCCUGGCGACACUGAGCAGCAACUAACACGGCUCCGGGAUUUGGGACUGGGACACAUCCGAGCUGCGCGACCUUUUCUAAAACCUGAAAACAUACAAUCUUUUAAUGGAAAACUAAUUAUCAAAUGCUUCCUUAGUAGGGUUUUCUUGUUUGGGGGUAUAACUCCCACAACAAUUGUGAAUUUUGUGUUGAAAUAUGGGACAUAAUCAAGGUGAAGAGAAAAUGAA